AAAAGCUUUCUUUAAUUGAAUAAUUGAAUUUAAUUUUUUAGUGCAAAAGCAAAAAUAAAAAUUAGGGACAAGAAGACCCUAUGAAUUUUUUAUUAAAUUUUAUAAAACUUUAUAUAAAAUUUAAUUUAAUUGGGGUGAUGGAAAAAGAAUAAAUAUCUUUUUUUAAAAAAAAAUUGGUUCCGUUUUUAGCGAUUAAAUGAAAAAAANACUCUAGGGAUAACAGCGUAAUAAUUUUGGAUAGUUCAUAUANAUAAAAUAGUUUGCGACCUCGAUGUUGGAUUAGGAUUCUUUUUUGGUGAANAAGUUAAAAAAA
Molecule: ribosomal RNA, 313 nt
Filed under: Ixodes ricinus (castor bean tick)
Lineage: Eukaryota; Metazoa; Arthropoda; Arachnida; Ixodida; Ixodidae
Description: partial large subunit ribosomal RNA
Source: RNAcentral